UGUUUCAAAAAAAUACUGCCAUACAUGUUAUUGAUGUACUAAGGAAUAAAUGGAUCACACCACUGAAUACUAAUAUGGUAUGGUUUAGCUGUAUGAGAAUUUUUGAUUCAACUGUCGAUGGUAGGUUACACGCCUAUCAGGUCGUAACAGGUGACGAGGAAUCACGGCUCGAUUCCGGAGAGAGAGCCUGAGAAACGGCUACCACAUCCAGGAAAGGCAGCAAGCGUGCAAAUUUACCCACUUCCAGAGCGGGGAGGUAGUGACAAAAAAUAACAGUACGUGACUCUUUUGGGACUCCAUAAUUGGAAUCAGUGCAAUCUAAAUCCUUUAACAAUGAUCAGCUGGAGGGCAAGUUUGGUGCCAGUAGCCGUGUAAUUCUAGCUCCACU
Molecule: non-coding RNA, 388 nt
Filed under: Stegodyphus mimosarum
Lineage: Eukaryota; Metazoa; Arthropoda; Arachnida; Araneae; Eresidae
Description: eukaryotic small subunit ribosomal RNA
Rfam family: Eukaryotic small subunit ribosomal RNA
Source: Rfam by way of RNAcentral